CCUACGGGGGGCAGCAGUGAGGAAUAUUGGACAAUGGGCGAGAGCCUGAACCAGCCAAGUCGCGUGAGGGAGUACUGCCCUAUGGGUUGUAAACCUCUUUUGUCGGGGAGCAAAAGCCGGACGUGUCCGGCUGUGAGAGUACCCGCAGCAAAAGCAUCGGCUAACUCCGUGCCAGCAGCCGCGGUAAUACGGAGGAUGCGAUGGUUAUCCGGAUUUUUUGGGUUUAAGGGGUGCGCAGGCGGAUUUUUACGUCGGAGGUAAAAUCGUGGGGAUAAACCCCAUCCAGCCGUUGAAACUGGGGAUCUAGAGUGUGCGAGAGGUAUGCGGAAUGCGUGGUGUAGCGGUGAAAUGCAUAGAUAUAACGCAGAACACCGAUUGCGAAGGCAGCAUACCGGUGCAUAACUGACGCUCAGGCACGAAAGCGUGGGUAUCGAACAGGAUUAGAUACCCUUGUAGUC
This 458-nucleotide ribosomal RNA is filed under the name uncultured bacterium. RNAcentral describes it as "partial 16S ribosomal RNA". It matches the Rfam family "Bacterial small subunit ribosomal RNA", at positions 338 to 795 of the family's 1533-position model. The record is from RNAcentral.